Long non-coding RNA from Gasterosteus aculeatus aculeatus (three-spined stickleback), 1402 nucleotides. The record is from Ensembl. Lineage: Eukaryota; Metazoa; Chordata; Actinopteri; Perciformes; Gasterosteidae.
CUCCUCGACAAAAACUGUUGGAAAGCCUCCAGAGCAGAGCGCAUCGUGUCCUAGAAAGCCAGUGCAGUAGAACUGUCACGGAGCAGUGCAGGCGAGAGAGGAACUUGACAGCAUGGUGGGAGCUGGAUUCACACCCACCACACCGAUAAACACGAGCAUGACGGCAGCGCAGCGUACAGCAGACAACGAUUAAGGAUAAUGUGGUGAAAGUGUGAGCAGAGAGACUGCUGCGAAUGCUCACACGUUAGCUCAUCGUCAUGAAUCGCCACCGUCUCGUCGUCCGCCCACCAGAGAGGGAAACAAAGGAAGCACAGAGAGUUGGAUCGGGACCAGAGUGUCGUGUUUGCCCGAGGAGACAAACCGCACUGGAGGCUUAUUAUGUGAAGUGAUGGUAACGACCUGGACUGAUUGCGGAGCUGAGAAGACUUCUGAUUCAGGUGAGAAAGAAAAACAGGAAAACGAGGAUGAGCCAGCAUGGAGAGUGAUGCAUGAGAUAUGUGACACACCACCCGCAGCUUUCAGAGAGCAUUCUUGGUUGCAUGUGUGUCUGUAUGUUUGUGCAUCUAAGCGUAUAUGAACGUGUGUGUGUGUGUGUCCUCUUGUGAGCAUGGGAGCAUCGAAGAGAGACCCAACAAGUGAGGAAGAGCACAGAGGAGAGACAGAGGACUGUGUGCGUUGGCUGUUGUGUGAAGUCAUCCUAAUUAAUAGCCGAGAGUGUCUGGCUGAAAGCGAUGUUCCUUAAAUUAGAAAACCUUCUGUUGUCCAAUUUGGCAUUAUAAACUAGCCACAUUAGGACCCAUGUUCCAGGGAGUCAUAACAAUGACAUGAUAAAUAUCUCUGCAGAGUGAUUUCAUGAACAAAAGGCUUCAAAGUGAUCUGCUGUGUUUUCCCUACAAAAAUCAGGCCAUCGUUUGCAGAACACGACAUCGACCCCUUCAUCUAUCUCUGAUCCGUCCAUCCCGUAUAACGGGUUAAGCUGCAGCCUUUUUAUGUAAUGGUGAACAUCAACCACAGUGAAGGAGACUGCAACGGGGCGGUGCAGGGAAUGGGUGCUGGUAAUGAUGUGUGUGUGUGCAUGCGUGUGUGUGUGUGUGUGUGCGUGGGUGUGUGCAUGCUGUACUGUUCCUAAUUAAAGUGGACCUCGGCGCAGUGAUCAAUACUCAAUGGUCCAUAGUAGCUAUAUGGGCUGAAGUCACCCAACCGCCUUUUAUUUCAUGUGUCAGUCACCCCAAUCCUUCUCUCCCCGUGUCACACACACACACACACAUCCAUCCUUUGUGUAAAACGGAUUGCGCUGACCGAGCAGUCUUCCAGUGACCACCCGUAGCUCGUGUCCAAUGAGAAGCAGUGAGUGUGCGUGUGUUUCCCCCUUAUGUCCAUUAGCACAGGAUGACGGAGGGGG